This 69-nucleotide transfer RNA is filed under the name Bos taurus (domestic cattle). It matches the Rfam family "tRNA". Rfam says of the family: Transfer RNA (tRNA) molecules are approximately 80 nucleotides in length. Their secondary structure includes four short double-helical elements and three loops (D, anti-codon, and T loops). RNAcentral also lists the same sequence under 4 other names. The record is from Rfam by way of RNAcentral. Lineage: Eukaryota; Metazoa; Chordata; Mammalia; Artiodactyla; Bovidae.
CCUGGUGGCUCAGAUGGUAAAGCAUCUGCCUAUAAUGCAGGAGACCCUGGUUCAAUCCCUGGGUCAGGA